GACGAACGCUGGCGGCGUGCUUAACACAUGCAAGUCGAACGGAAAGGCCCUGCUUGCAGGGUACUCGAGUGGCGAACGGGUGAGUAACACGUGGGUGAUCUGCCCUGCACUUCGGGAUAAGCCUGGGAAACUGGGUCUAAUACCGGAUAGGAGCCAUUUUUAGGGUGAGGGUUGGAAAGUUUUUUCGGUGUAGGGUGAGCUCGCGGCCUAUCAGCUUGUUGGUGGGGUAAUGGCCUACCAAGGCGGCGACGGGUAGCCGGCCUGAGAGGGUGGACGGCCACAUUGGGACUGAGAUACGGCCCAGACUCCUACGGGGGGCAGCAGGGGGGAAUAUUGCACAAUGGGCGCAAGCCUGAUGCAGCGACGCCGCGUGGGGGAUGACGGCCUUCGGGUUGUAAACUCCUUUCGCUAGGGACGAAGCUUUUUGUGACGGUACCUAGAUAAGAAGCACCGGCUAACUACGUG
This 465-nucleotide ribosomal RNA is filed under the name uncultured bacterium. RNAcentral describes it as "partial 16S ribosomal RNA". It matches the Rfam family "Bacterial small subunit ribosomal RNA", at positions 28 to 507 of the family's 1533-position model. The record is from RNAcentral.